This 506-nucleotide ribosomal RNA is filed under the name uncultured bacterium. RNAcentral's name for it is "partial 16S ribosomal RNA". It matches the Rfam family "Bacterial small subunit ribosomal RNA", at positions 29 to 523 of the family's 1533-position model. The record is from RNAcentral.
AGUGAACGCUGGCGGUAGGCCUAACACAUGCAAGUCGAACGGCAGCACAGGAGAGCUUGCUCUCUGGGUGGCGAGUGGCGGACGGGUGAGGAAUACAUCGGAAUCUACUUUUUCGUGGGGGAUAACGUAGGGAAACUUACGCUAAUACCGCAUACGACCUACGGGUGAAAGCAGGGGACCUUCGGGCCUUGCGCGAUUGAAUGAGCCGAUGUCGGAUUAGCUAGUUGGCGGGGUAAAGGCCCACCAAGGCGGCGAUCCGUAGCUGGUCUGAGAGGAUGACCAGCCACACUGGAACUGAGACACGGUCCAGACUCCUACGGGAGGCAGCAGUGGGGAAUAUUGGACAAUGGGCGCAAGCCUGAUCCAGCCAUACCGCGUGGGUGAAGAAGGCCUUCGGGUUGUAAAGCCCUUUUGUUGGGAAAGAAAUCCAGCUGGCUAAUACCCGGUUGGGAUGACGGUACCCAAAGAAUAAGCACCGGCUAACUUCGUGCCAGCAGCCGCAGUAA